GUACACUCCUGCGGGAGGCAGCAGUAGGGAAUCUUCCACAAUGGGUGCAAACCUGAUGGAGCAAUGCCGCGUGAGUGAAGAAGGUCUUCGGAUCGUAAAGCUCUGUUGUUAGAGAAGAACACGUGCUAGGUAACUACUAGCGCCUUGACGGUAUCUAACCAGAAAGUCACGGCUAACUACGUGCCAGCAGCCGCGGUAAUACGUAGGUGACAAGCGUUGUCCGGAUUUAUUGGGCGUAAAGGGAUCGCAGGCGGUCUGUUUAGUCUAAUGUGAAAGCCCACGGCUUAACCGUGGAACGGCAUUGGAAACUGACAGACUUGAAUGUAGAAGAGGAAAAUGGAAUUCCAAGUGUAGCGGUGGAAUGCGUAGAUAUUUGGAGGAACACCAGUGGCGAAGGCGAUUUUCUGGUCUAACAUUAACGCUGAGGCUCGAAAGCGUGGGGAGCGAACAGGAUUAGAUACCCGAGUAGUCCCA
This 474-nucleotide ribosomal RNA is filed under the name uncultured organism. Its description in RNAcentral is "partial 16S ribosomal RNA". It matches the Rfam family "Bacterial small subunit ribosomal RNA", at positions 331 to 797 of the family's 1533-position model. The record is from RNAcentral.